GCAGGGUCAGUCAGCAGCAGGGCUGUCCUCAGCACAGAGCUUGCUGGUCCUCGCAAUCACUCACGUCUCCAUUGCCGGUCCCGAGCCAGCCUGAGCAGCUGCCAGGCUGUCACACCGGGGCGGUGCAAAGCCAGGCAGAGAUUUCAGACCCGCGUUCCUCGAGCGAAUGAGGAAGUUUAACACGUCGUUCAAGAAGCGGCCAACCUCACCAACUAAAAGCAAGGUGUGCUCAGCCCGUCCCAAACACCUGGCGGCCGGGCCGUGAGGAUGCUCCUACACGAACGCGAUCCCCGACACCACAGAAGGGCAGCAGAAGGACUGUGCCUCAGAGGACGAGCAGGACAUGCACUUGGAGGAAAUAGCCCUUAGUCUGCAAAGAAAGAAGAGAGAACAUUGGGCUGAGGAGCUCCUCUUCUCACACCGAAAUUACUGGAGGUCACACCAGAUGCUUGCCCAGCAUCAGCUGGAUGGGAGAUGUCUGGAUACACAAUUUCAUCCUAAGAGUAAACUGUCAAGCUUGUACCAGAAGCUGAUGGAGGAUGCAGAAGUUGGCUUUCAGAUGACAAGGCUUUUCAGGUAACACAAUUGCCUGCCUUCCACACAAGACUGUAGGAGCUGAAGCAUGGACCAAAUGCCAGGCUAGCGAGAGACCCUCACUUCAAUGCUGAGCAUCAAGAAGAGUGGGCCAGUGCCCCAAAGAAGGACUCAGACCAUGGAUAGGAGGUGCUCCCUCACUGCACAUGGGGGAAAAACACCAGAAUCUCACAAGUUUUGCAGCUCUUCCUACCAGCUGUUAAGGACAGACAAGGGACCAGUACCACCUUCAAAAGGGUACAAGAUGCUCCUUCGGCAGUUAAAGAAAACCAGCAAAUGCAGAUCCAAACUACAGUUAUACUGUGGAUCUUACAUUUUCCAAAGUGACUGUCUCCUUCAGGCAACAUCAAGGACUCAUCUGACAAUACAAGCAGCACUCUUUGUCUGAAUUCUCAUCUUAAAGCACAUGACUUCCUUUUUUUAAUUAAGUUGCUAACUUAAUAACAGCCCUGUCUCUUAGAGUGCCAAUUUAAUGCCUGUAGAUAAAAUAUGAUGCAGUUAUUAAAGAGCAGGUAGCAGCACACCCCAUCAUCUCCCUGAGUGAAGUGUGGGCCAAUCCAUCACAACAUAAGACGUUGUGUUCCAGCUGGUGCAAGGGAGUAGCAGAUGGGGAGUGCAUUUCCAAACACAGAGCUAGUCUGCGGUGGUGCAAUUUAUCUGGGACAUACAAUUAGUUCAGGAAAAGCAGAGAGGUUUGAAUAAAUGAAAUGAAUUUCGUAUAAGUGGGCCUUGUCUGCAUGCAGAAAUCUUGUUGGUAUAACUCCAGCAAAAUUGUACAGAUCUGGGUGUGAAGCCCUAUCUAGAUACUUUCACUUGGUUUCAGGGUGACUGAAUUACCAACGUCAUCCACACUCAGACAGCCAAAGAACCUUUUGCAUAAGCUUAACCUUUGCAACAUAUUCCUGUACCUGAUACUGUCACAGCUUUAUUCUCUAGUAUGUUAACAUAAGAUUGCUGUUUCUUCUGAGCAAGUUCCACUUAGUUUUUCAGAUUCAUGCAUCCCCUGGGCCUCCCUGAAUCUGCUGAGCCCACAGAGAAAUGCAUUUUAGUUCAGUGAAUUCAUUGAGGUCCUCACUGCAUCAUGAAGACACAAACCUGAGGUGAGUCAGCAUUCAGAACACAACAAAACAUUUUUAACAGGUACCUUUAAAGAAAAGAGACAGAAGAGAUAUCUGAAAUGCCCCAAAAGUGAUAUCUGUUCAUCUGACACAAACCAGGAUCGAGUCUGUGAAAUCCCAACUCCACCAUCCAUGGAGGUGAAGGAAUCAAAACAAGAGCUGAGUCCUCAUGUGAAAAUAUUGCAGUUCACUCAUUUUACCUCAGUUUUCUUGGUAUAUUUUCCAGAUAUGUGUGUAUGUGUUUCUGAUUUUAUAUCUAUUACAUAACUUUCAUGAAUUACUUGAUUCCAUCAGGACUGCUGUAGCCCAGAUAGUUCUAUAGAUGUUGUAUCUCGAUGGGGUCCAAGAGUACAGUAAAUGAUAUGCAGCAGCAUGCAAGGACUCAGAGUGCCUGAGAUUAAAAAACAAAGAAAUUUCAGUUUAUCAUUUUGUCUUUUCCACAGGUAAAGCUGCCAUAGGCCUGCUACAGGCCGUAAUCCUCCUUGUCUGAAGCCAAAUAACAGAGAAUCAAAAUGCGUUUGCGAGCUUUGAAAUGAAACAGUAAGAAGUCUAGAGAAGAUAAUUCCAUUACAAUCUUUACAGUUGGGCACAUCCAGUAUAGUCAAUGAAGGAGAUAGACAGUAAUCUCAACCAUAAUUGCUUUUGAAAAGAUUUGUUUAUCUAUUCUUUCCUUAGUUGCAUAUCCAGGCAACAGAAUCACUCAAAAAAUCAGAAUUCUGCUGUAUUUCUUACCCUUCCCCCCAACAAUUUCUUCACGCAUACUUUAUGUUGUCUUACAGUUCUCAUCUCAUCUCAUCUCAUUUAGUGGGAGCUAUUGGUAAUAAGUGAACGGUUGGACUGGAUGAUCUUUUAGGUCUUUUCCAACCUUGGUGAUUCUAUGAUUCUAUCUGGCCGUUUCUUGGUGCCCUAAAGAGUUCUAGCUAAAUGACAGAUCUCCAGAAAAGUAAGAGCCUUGUUACUUUUUGCUUUACUUUCCCUCCCUCCUGAAAACCACUAUGGCCAAAACUGGAGCAGGGAAGCUGGGUAUCAGAAACACAUGCUUUGCAUUGGUGAGAGUGAAGAAGGGCUGUGUGAGCUGUGUGGCGCUGCACCCAGCCAGUCUCUGUGCUUGGUGGAGAGGCUUGAUUGCAAGGGCUGCAAAUUUAGAACAAGGGACAAGAGGGCACUGUCUCCUCCUGAGGCUGGUCUGUCAACCCUAGCAGAUGAAUAAAGAUCAGUGUCACAUAAAUAUUUCAGGUCUUAUUUGUUUGUUUUGGGUGUUGAGGCGAUCAGUGCUGUCAUUGGUUGACUAUUAAAGUUAUAUCUGAACAAGGAGAAGUUAUUAAACAGUCCCAAGAAAAGUUAACAGCAAUUGAAAUAUCUCCUUCAGAGAAUUUACUGAAGCAACACAGCAGAAGUUGAAUAAUUCCUCCCUUGGAUUGUCUCUAGCUGGCUUCAAGUGGCCAAGUUCACUUAACACUGACCAACAAGAAAUUGAUCUCAUCAGUUUUAUCUCUGCAGCCACCUGCAUGUACAGUUAUUUGUACUCAUUAGAGCAAACUCUGAAGAAGAGUAAGGCUAAUGACCCAGUGUAUCAGAGGAGCCGUCUGAAGCUCAUGCCACCAGAUCGCUGGAACUGAGUUUUCAGAUAUGCUCAUUACACCAGGCAGGAAGCCCAGGAUGCUGACAUGCUGUAGGGAAAGUCCACUCAGGUUGUGGUACAGAGCAUUUAGGUCUCUCGUGACUCAGAGAUUGUGGAAGCACAUAAACCUUGCCACUGAUUCUCUUCUCUCCCCUUACCUACAGCUUCCUCCCAUUGCCAAGCCAAGCAGAUUUCAAAUGCUGGAAGCAUCCUGGUUCUGAAGCCUGCGUCCUGAAGGUAGCGAAGAAAGACAGUCUACUUUCUGCAGGGUUCAACCUUACAGACAUGUUCUCAAACAGAGCAAAAAACUGGUGGGUAUUGCUUCUGUUGGGGAAAAAAAUAGCAGCGCUGUUUAUAACAAUGGCUUUAUUUUUCUCCAUUGGAGAGAUUUGAAAUACAGAAUAGUCAGCAUUCCACAAUUUCUGCCCACGAGCAAAUAUGAGAUGGCUCCAAGAUGCUUUGCUUCCUUGUAAUGCAGAAAAUUUCUAAUGAGAAGCCAAUUUGCUGAAAACUGGAGAUGCUGCAGCACACACAGCCCUUGGAGAGGAACCUUGUAAAGCCAAGUGGAAGUGGAAGUAAAUCAGGCUGCACUGGAAACUGAUGGGAACCCAUAGCAAUGAACAGAGUGUCUGUUUCAAAUAAAUAGUCAAAACUUAAAAAUACUAAGUUUUUCCAGGAGAUCAUCCCAUAACCAAUACUAGAAGGUGUUUUUCAGCCUCUGAUUAAGCUAUGUGUCUUUGCAGGCAUUUGGAUACACUACAGUCAUUUUAAGAAUUCUUCUCAUUAUAAAGCAUGUGCAGAAAUAUUUGCUGAUACAUGCUUUUGCAGCUUUUUUGAUGCAUCAGUUUUCUACUGUAAGUAAAAACAUAGCCUGCAUUCAGUGAUCAGCUGUCAGAGAGGGAAGGGAAGGAACUGGACAAGUGCAUUUCAGCCGACUUCUACCACUAAGGACCUGAGAACAGUAAUCCAAACCAGAUGUAGGGAAAAAAUGAGAGACCCAUAAAUACAGUCAUUCUAAUGCCUGUUUGAUUUCCCGCAUUCAUAAGUGCUUUACUGAUGAAAAUUGCAGUGUGUUCAUGAAGCAAGGAUCUGUGCUCAUACUCAUUUCUGCCCCACUCCUUGCUACCUUUGAACAUGAAUGUCUGUCACUUUCGCUUCUCUGGGAUCUUUGCGGAGGGUUUGUCCUUUCCUUUCACACUGCUUCUUUUCCCAUUUUCUCCUUCUUAUUGAUCUUCUUUUAGUUUCUUCUCUGCAUUCGUGCACAUUGCUUAUGCUCAGCUGCUUGGUUGGGGGCGCCUUGCAGCAGUGUUUCAGCCCACACUUGGAGUGCCCCCCUAACAUCGUUCACCUGAUUAUCCAUCCCUCCUCUCACCAUCAUUUGCUUCACCUAAAGAACAGCAAGCUGAAUAGAAAGAUGCACUCCAGCUUGCUAGUGAGCAGUCUGUGUUUGGGGUACAACCAAAGUUUAUCCGAGGUGUAAAUGGCUGAAGCACACACAGUGUGGUCUUCACCGCAUUUUGCUCUGUGAAACCAACCCAGAGCACUUCACCAAGCACUGACAGGACACAGCAAACACCAGGUGUGCCCACACUCUAAGGCCACUCUGCGCCCUAUGAACACAUCCGCCAGCUCAUACCCUUGCUUUAUCAGUGUGCCGUUCUUUCCUGCUUCUUCCUCAAAAUAUCCUCUCUGCAGGGAGAGCAGCUCAUCCACAGUCUCCCCUGCUCGCAGCUGCCUGCUGAGGACAGGAGGUGUCUGUGAGCUGCCAGGAAGGGGAUGGCACGGGGACCCCAGCAUCCCUGGCCCUUUCACAGCCUGAAUAAUUGUUCCUUCAUGGCACAGCAGAGAAACACUGGUUUGUGUUUCAGCAAAGCACAGCUCUGCUGUUUUGGUCUGAAAGAAGAAAUGUUUUCAGUCUCUACACAGUCAGGCUCUUUGCAUUUCAGACAAACGGACUCGUGAAGAUUACUGAAUUCUUCUCUCAAACUGUUGCAAAGCCCACAGGAGGACCUCUCAGCCCCCACUGGUCUGUGUCUCUGUGGUAUCUCAUGCUUCUAAGACUCAGUCACCUUCUACAUCCUACCUCCUGCCUUUGCCAGGAGCAAAUGCUGGUGCAGGAAGCUCAGGGACCACCACCAUCUCCUGCAGGGACAGGGACUGACUGCCCCGGUGGCUGUCCAGAAUCAGCAAUGAGCUCUGCUUCAAAACUGUUGCUGUCAGGUUUCUAUGCUUUUAGCCCGUGGCUUCUGCAGCACACUGGUAGCUCUUGGCAGCCUGAGGCAAGCCUCAGCAUUGCUGCAGCACACAAAUAUUAUCUUCUGGAAAAGAGCCGUUCUUCUGGCCUCUGUCCCAAUGCACUUGUUUUGUAAUAUGUGUCAUGACUAAGCAUCAGAAAUUAGCAAAACAGUGGGAACAAAAACCAAAAGUUUUGAGCCAAAUGAAAAGCACUUCUGGUAUUCGGUUUGUGAAUUUGCACUCUCAAAUAAAAUCAGCAGUGGAGAGGGCAGAAUAAAACCAAAGUGUGGGAGCUUGUAAUGCAGACUCCACCAACACAGCCAUCCGUUCCGAGCUCUGCGUGGUUUUUUAAGUGCACACAUUCUAAAUUACAAAACCCAGGAACAAAAGCUAACAAAAAGAUGUAUUUUGACACUGAUGUUUAAAGUGAGUCAUGUAAAGUUAUCCAUAUUUUCUGCAUUAAGCACAUUGAUAAGCUGACUUUUCUUCGAGACUAACUCAAUAGAUGACGAUGCCAUCACAUCCAGAAGAUCGAACAAGCAUGUCUAUUCACAUAUGGCAGAGUGGGAGGUUUGUGCAAAGAUGGACAAAGAAAUAUGCAGAAAUAUGAACAGAUGCGAAUGAAAACAAGGUGAUUUGUUUGAUAACGGUCACUCAGAAACAUAACAGUGCUGAAUGGGCAUUUUUUCGCAUUAUCAGAAAGGUGAUAAGGAUAUGUUAUUAUAUUCUUGUCAUCUUAGUAGUAGCUUAAAUUCUAUUUGUAUGUUUCGUAUCUAUGUGAAACCUUUACCUGAAGUGCAUAUAGCUACAAUUACAACUCCAUAUUCCACUGUCCCAUGGGCAGUGACUAUCAUAAAUAUCAUUCAGGAACAUAUCUCCCCUUUUGUCAGCAAGAGAGAAGGCGAGGAUGAUGAAAAACUCUGAGAUCCAGCUCAACUUGCACAGAGCCACCAUGGUGCAAUACGGGCUGUAAAGCUCCUCACGCCCAGGGGCUUCAGUUGACGUCAGCCUUCAGGUCUGUGUGUCCAUCAGGGCUUGGGGAGAGGAAACAGAUUUGCACCUCCCUACUAAUAGAAGUGUUUUCCAGCUGUGAUUAUGUAUUUCACUGGACUUCAAACCUAUAAUCCACAGCUUUGUAGUGGCACUUGUAACAUAAUUGCAAGCUGGUACAUCUGAUUGCAAAGAUCACUGAUAAUUUUGCUGUUCUACUGAU
This is a long non-coding RNA of Lagopus muta (rock ptarmigan), 6781 nucleotides long. RefSeq lists it as uncharacterized. Lineage: Eukaryota; Metazoa; Chordata; Aves; Galliformes; Phasianidae. The record is from RefSeq and is a predicted model, not a curated record. The transcript is spliced from 4 exons.